GAGUAUUCUAGGUUGUGUAUUUUCCAUCAAGAGCAAACAUUUUUCAUUUAAAAAGAAUGUUCUUAUUUCUUCUGGAUAUUAUUCUUCUUACAUUCUAAUAAAAUGUUUUAUAAAUGAUUAGAAAAUCACAGACUCAGUGCUAGAAAAGCCCUCAAUGUUUUUAUUGUCUAGACACCUCAGUUAGAAAAUGAAAUUGUCUUGAUAAGAUAUUUUAGUUUGUUGGUAUAUUUGGUAAGAAUUGCCACUGUGAAAGCCCAGCCAGGCAUUCUGCCUAUAAUUUUGGUUGCUUAUGAAGUAGUAAUUUGAGCUAUUGUUACUUUUUUUUCUUGUCAGUUUGGAACAGAUGGGAUGAGUAUGACUUUUAAGCGGAUACAAGGACAGCUUUAUUCUUCGGCGCCAAGAAUGGAGGUUCUUCCCUGAUAAGGGACCAGUGGCUCAAGAGUUAACUGGCUUAUCCAAUUCACAAACAGAGGAACUAUUAUUAGAAAGAACCUACCAUUCCAUCACCUCCUCCGUUAGCAAAUUGCACAGCUAAGUUUAUUGGACCUGCUGCUGUAAGAGAGAACACCUCCUUGCCAGUAGUUCUGAGAAAGGGUGAGUCAAAGAGAGCCUCAGCUGGGUGAUUUUAAGUCUUACCUUUGUGGAGCAAGAAUUUCCUGGAGCAAGUAUUUCCUGGAAUAAGUAGCUAAGUUAUCUUUGAUUGUUCUCAGUACUGUUUACUAUAGGGUCAGAAAUAUAUGGUCGGUCCCAGAAUUGAUCAACACUGAGACAGGAAAUUAUGUUGCUUUUAGCUCCACCACCAGUUUAACAGAGAACGUAUUUUAAACAUCUAUUAUGCUGAUUAAACAAACUAAUAAUUUCACGAACUGGACAACUCAUUUCCAUACUUACUGUUCCAAUUUAGCUAAGUCACCUGGAUGUUGUUGGGAAAUAGAGAUAAAGGAGGCAACUUCUGGACUGUGGCCUUUCUCAUAAAUGCUUGCUGACUGGCCUGGAACAUGAGUUCUUGACUGUCCUGAGGUGUAGCUUGAACCAACCAAUAUGUACACACCAUCUGUGUUGAAAUAUUUUGAAGUGCAUUAUAGAUACACUCUGGUAAUAUGUAUCUAGCUGCUGAAGGGAUCCCUCUGACCAGCCUGCAUCCAGGCUGUCCGGGCCCAACACGCUAUAGUAAUCAAGUUCUGAAUAUGACUGUGAAAAAACUGCAUGAACCAUAAUGAUUUGGAGCAAGAAGGGAGAUCAUUUUGAAUGGGGGAGCAUCUUAAAAUAGAUGCAUUGUCAUGAGAAGAGUUGCAGAAUGUGUAUGGGUGGUGUGUGUGUG
This is a non-coding RNA of Miniopterus natalensis, 1321 nucleotides long. Lineage: Eukaryota; Metazoa; Chordata; Mammalia; Chiroptera; Miniopteridae. The record is from RefSeq and is a predicted model, not a curated record.